AGCAGCCGCGGUAAUUCCAGCUCCAAUAGCGUAUAUUAAAGUUGUUGCAGUUAAAAAGCUCGUAGUUGAAUUUCGGGAUCAAUUGAUUGGUCAUGCCUUGGUAUGAACUGGUCAUAUUGGUUCUCACCUUCUAAUGAACCAUAAUGUCAUUCACUUGAUGUUAUGGGGAAUUAGGACUGUUACCUUGAAAAAAUUAGAGUGUUUAAAGCAGGCUUACGCUUGAAUACAUUAGCAUGGAAUAAUGAAAUAGGACAUCGCAUUCUAUUUUGUUGGUUUCUAGGAUCGAUGUAAUGAUUAAUAGGGAUAGUUGGGGGCAUUAGUAUUCAAUUGUCAGAGGUGAAAUUCUUGGAUUUAUUGAAGACUAACUACUGCGAAAGCAUUUGCCAAGGAUGUUUUCAUUAAUCAAGAACGAAAGUUAGGGGAUCGAAGACGAUCAGAUACCGUCGUAGUCUUAACCAUAAACUAUGCCGACUAGGGAUCGGAUGAUGUUAAUUUUUAAAUGUA
This 504-nucleotide small RNA is filed under the name uncultured Glomus. Its description in RNAcentral is "SSU rRNA". It matches the Rfam family "Eukaryotic small subunit ribosomal RNA", at positions 569 to 1078 of the family's 1831-position model. The record is from RNAcentral. Lineage: Eukaryota; Fungi; Glomeromycota; Glomeromycetes; Glomerales; Glomeraceae.